CCUACGGGUGGCAGCAGUGGGGAAUAUUGGACAAUGGGGGGAACCCUGAUCCAGCGACGCCGCGUGAGUGAAGAAGUAUUUCGGUAUGUAAAGCUCUAUCAGCAGGGAAGAAAAUGACGGUACCUGACUCAGAAGCCCCGGCUAACUACGUGCCAGCAGCCGCGGUAAUUCGUAGGGGGCAAGCGUUAUCCGGAUUUACUGGGUGUAAAGGGAGCGUAGACGGUGCAGCAAGUCUGAUGUGAAAGGGCGGGGGCCAACCCCGGGACUGCAUUGGAAACUGUUGAACUGGAGUACAGGAGAGGUAAGCGGAAUGCCUAGUGUAGCGGUGAAAUGCGUAGAUAUUAGGAGGAACACCAGUGGCGAAGGCGGCUUACUGGACUGUAACUGACGUUGAGGCUCGAAAGCGUGGGGAGCAAACAGGAUUAGAUACCCCAGUAGUC
RNAcentral lists this ribosomal RNA (440 nucleotides) under uncultured bacterium. Its description in RNAcentral is "partial 16S ribosomal RNA". It matches the Rfam family "Bacterial small subunit ribosomal RNA", at positions 338 to 795 of the family's 1533-position model. The record is from RNAcentral.